Macrobrachium nipponense is the source of this 1046-nucleotide long non-coding RNA. RefSeq lists it as uncharacterized. The record is from RefSeq and is a predicted model, not a curated record. The transcript is spliced from 3 exons. NCBI's taxonomy places the organism in Eukaryota, Metazoa, Arthropoda, Malacostraca, Decapoda, Palaemonidae.
AUUUUGGCAGAGCGUUCAGUCCUCUUUAGACUUCUGAAGUGUGCAUAUUGUUAAAAAAUGUGUGUUUUAAUAUUCUAUUUAAAUUUCGAGUUUAGUUCGUGGAGAACAUGUGACAACGAACACCUACGUAGACGAUUUGAUCAAGUCACGAAGACUAAAUUGCACCUGGGCCAAAAUCUGUCAAGGGAACUGUGUCGCAGAUGAUUUGAGUCAUCUGACCUUCAACCAUUUAUUUUUGCAGUUUAUUACUUAAUUUUCAUAACUAGAGAGUUUUAACUUUAAACCAUGGUGUAUUAGAUUAAACUGUGAUUUGAUGAAAUUGUUUAAAUGCCACAAAUAUCAGUUUUAAUUCACCUAGUCCAAUAGCGAUUUGUGUGUGCUUUAGCAAUUGAAUUAUAAUUGUGGUUUAACAGGAUUAGCUAAUAUUUCUGUAUCUUUCAGUUUAACUGGAGGUUUGACCAUUCACCUGUGGAAAGUGGAAUGAAAUGAAGGAAGUCACAGCUGAAACUGGAUUUUCAACGAUCCAGUACUGAUGGGAGUUGGUGAAACAUCUCUUGCAGCAAAAACACCUGUAAUGACACCGCCUGCAGUGUCUACUGCAUGUCCUACGGACAAUUCAUCCAGAAGUGACACCUCCACUACAGUGAAUACUGCCAAUCGAUCAGGCAAAAGGAUGCGUGACGAUGCAGACGAUGUUAUGCGGGAAGCCCUACACCAGCUGAGGGAAUUGUUGUCUACGCAGGACACUGCUGAUGUUUGUACUGCUUUUGCAACCGUAGUUGCAAAUAAUCUUCGACAAUUGAAAGGGGAAACCAAAAUUUAUGCAGAAAAACUAAUUAAUGAAGUUCUUUUUCUUGCUAAACUUUGUCGUCUUUCGUCGACAUCAAUGGUUAAAGAGUAGUUUUUCACAUUUAUAUUGCUGUUUAUUGUUUAUAUAAAUUACCAUUACUUGUUUUUUUUUGGGGGGAAGGGUUCGUCAGGAUACACAAUUUGACAUUAUUCAUAAUUAGCAUAGAAAAUAUAAGAUUACUUGGUGUGAAAGUGAU